Molecule: long non-coding RNA, 2094 nt
Organism: Homo sapiens (human)
Lineage: Eukaryota; Metazoa; Chordata; Mammalia; Primates; Hominidae
Gene: SOX2-OT
Product: SOX2 overlapping transcript
Source: Ensembl
AGUCUAGUGGGAGAUGUGGCUGGGGCUAAGAGGAAGAGCUGCAGUUUCCUGGGCCAAAGAGCUGAGUUGGACAGGGAGAUGGCAGCUUACCAAGGCCUGCUGGUUCUCAGCUCUAGAGUCUGCCUUAUGGUCCGAGCAGGAUUUAUUUUUAAGAACAGAGCAAGUUACGUGGAAGCAAGGAAGGUUUUGAGGACAGAGGUUUGGGUCUCCUAACUUCUAGUCGGGACUGUGAGAAGGGCGUGAGAGAGUGUUGGCACCUGUAAGCGCGGGUCCAAGCCUGUAGCCCCAAAUCGGAUAAUCUCUGCAGCUGAUAACAAGCAAAAGAGAAGCCAGGCAACAGCCAUAUUAAAGAAGAAAACAAUCAACUCUGAGAUCCAACUUAGAAAUAAUGUUUCAUUCAAGAUAAGGCUCGUGGCUUAGGAGAUUGUGACCUGGCUUGCAUCAUUCUAAGACUUCUAUCGUCUGUUUUCAAAACCCAAGGAGGACCUCCUUUUCUGUGUGAUAGUUCCUCAUGCUUUGCCAGCCACUGGGUCUUUAAGGAAGCUUGCCAAGAGUUCCCGGCUGGGAAGGACAGUUCGAGUUCAUCAUAGACAAUGAGCUGGCACCACAGUUUAAGUGACUCACCAACCUGGUUGCCCACUUCAAAAUGUCAAGAACCACACUAUCUAAUUGAAAGAACUGUGUUUUAGCAAAGUGUAAUUGGAUCGCCUGGCAAGAUCAUCUCAAACUAUGUCUCUGACCUUGCCUUUCAGUGGCUAUUUUGAGCACAAGAGGAGAAAGGAAAUGAUUCCUGAAUUAUAUCUUGUUUUUAAAAAUUAAGAUUAAUUAAUACUUGGUUUUAUGUUCAUUCCAUUGUAGGAACUUAGUGAUUAUUACAAAACAGUCAAAAUAGGUCAUAGCAAAAUGAACGUUUAAGAUUAGGUUAAAACAUUCCUCUGAAAUUUUAGUAUUCACUUUUGAAGUGUCAAUUACUAUAUUUCUGUAAUUUCUCAUUUUUUUCUUGGCUUAGAGUCAAGAUGAAAAAUGAUAUUUGAAUCAAAGACAUUGUUUUGUUAUAUAGCCACUCCUUUCUAAAAUGCAAAUCCACCCUCCCCUCACCAAUGCUUUAUUCUUUGUGCGCGCACACACACACACACACACACACACACACACACACACACACAGACAUACACAGAACCAGCACCCAAAUGGUAGAGGAGGUCCUUCCAAGACUUCUAGGACCUGGAUCAUGUAAGCAGUAGAUGAGAAAAUGAAGUAAGAGAUAUAGAGUAAUAACAAUAAAAGUCAAUGAUUUCAUUUUACAAAAAAGUCAUUGUGUAGUACUCAGAUAUUUUUAAGAGCAAGUAUUAUUAUGACUAAAGUAUAUUAUACUUCUAAAUUAUUAUGAUUCUCAUCUAAUUUCAAGCCACACAUAGGCGCCAUUUGAAAGCAUUUUGUGUUACAACCUAUCAACAAAAAUCAACUAAUAGUUUUAUAACGUGCAUAGGUUUACCCCAUGGGGAAUUAAAAUUUUUAUCUGCAAGUAUUUCUGUUGUUGUGAGACUUUAGGACAAGACAACAUUUGGUGUUAACAUAGAAGAAUAUUCUAUGGCUUUUUUAGCUUUAAAGUUCAUUACUCUAAAAUAAAGUACACGUGGUAUUUUUUUCUUCCUAGUGUUCUCUUAUUAUAUGUAGAGUAUUUUCGGUUGUUGUUUUUAACGUAUACAUUAUUUUUAUUAAGUCAUUUCAUAAAAGAUAAGAUAUAUACUAAUAGACCCUUGGUUUUCUCCUAAUUUAAUUAUUUCAAGUCAAGCAAAAUUGGGCAAUUUUCUUUCAGGAAAAAAAAAAUAUUGAGCAUGAUUUUGAGGUAAAACUGAUUAUUUACAGCAUCUUUUCUCUAAUAGGCUAACAUUUAUGAUGGAUCUUAUUUCAAAGUUGAUUAUUCUCAAAGAAAAGUGGAGAUAUUAGAAUUUCCGAGUAAAUUGCAUUGUUUUAAAAAGUACUUUAAUGCAUUGUUCACAUUGUUGCCAGCUAUUGACCAAAAAAGAGAAGAAGAAAAAAGAAAUAAAAAAAGCAGUAUCUGCUCCAAACGUCAAGUUUUGCAGUUUGAAAGAC